CUUGCUCCUGGUGGCGAGUGGCGAACGGGUGAGUAAUGCGUCGGAACGUACCGAGUAAUGGGGGAUAACGCAGCGAAAGUUGUGCUAAUACCGCAUACGCCCUGAGGGGGAAAGCGGGGGAUCGUAAGACCUCGCGUUAUUCGAGCGGCCGACGUCUGAUUAGCUAGUUGGUGGGGUAAUGGCUCACCAAGGCGACGAUCAGUAGCGGGUCUGAGAGGAUGAUCCGCCACACUGGGACUGAGACACGGCCCAGACUCCUACGGGAGGCAGCAGUGGGGAAUUUUGGACAAUGGGGGCAACCCUGAUCCAGCCAUUCCGCGUGAGUGAAGAAGGCCUUCGGGUUGUAAAGCUCUUUCAGCUGGAACGAAACGGUGUGCUCUAACAUAGCGCGCUAAUGACGGUACCAGCAGAAGAAGCACCGGCUAACUACGUGCCAGCAGCCGCGGUAAUACGUAGGGUGCGAGCGUUAAUCGGAAUUACUGGGCGUAAAGCGUGCGCAGGCGGAUUGUUAAGCAAGACGUGAAAUCCCCGGGCUUAACCUGGGAAUGGCGUUUUGAACUGGCAGUCUAGAGUGUGUCAGAGGGGGGUGGAAUUCCACGUGUAGCAGUGAA
This 611-nucleotide ribosomal RNA is filed under the name uncultured beta proteobacterium. Its description in RNAcentral is "bacterial SSU rRNA". It matches the Rfam family "Bacterial small subunit ribosomal RNA", at positions 79 to 685 of the family's 1533-position model. Lineage: Bacteria; Pseudomonadati; Pseudomonadota; Betaproteobacteria. The record is from RNAcentral.